Molecule: ribosomal RNA, 472 nt
Filed under: uncultured bacterium
Lineage: Bacteria
Description: partial 16S ribosomal RNA
Rfam family: Bacterial small subunit ribosomal RNA
Source: RNAcentral
GACGAACGCUGGCGGCGUGCUUAACACAUGCAAGUCGAACGCUGAAGCUUGGUGCUUGCACUGGGUGGAUGAGUGGCGCACGGGUGAGUAAUAAGUGAGUAACCUGCCCUUGACUCUGGGAUAAGCCUGGGAAACUGGGUCUAAUACUGGAUACGACAUGUCACCGCAUGGUGGUGUGUGGAAAGGGUUUUACUGGUUUUGGAUGGGCUCACGGCCUAUCAGCUUGUUGGUGGGGUAAUGGCUCACCAAGGCGACGACGGGUAGCCGGCCUGAGAGGGUGACCGGCCACACUGGGACUGAGACACGGCCCAGACUCCUACGGGAGGCAGCAGUGGGGAAUAUUGCACAAUGGGCGGAAGCCUGAUGCAGCGACGCCGCGUGAGGGAUGACGGCCUUCGGGUUGUAAACCUCUUUCAGCACGGAAGAAGCGAAAGUGACGGUACGUGCAGAAGAAGCGCCGGCUAACUACGUG